This 256-nucleotide ribosomal RNA is filed under the name uncultured bacterium. Its description in RNAcentral is "partial 16S ribosomal RNA". It matches the Rfam family "Bacterial small subunit ribosomal RNA", at positions 524 to 778 of the family's 1533-position model. The record is from RNAcentral.
UACGUAGGGGGCAAGCGUUGUCCGGAUUUAUUGGGCGUAAAGAGCGUGUAGGCGGCUUUACAGGUCCGUUGUGAAAACUCGAGGCUCAACCUCGAGACGCCGGUGGAAACCGUAAAGCUAGAGUCCGGAAGAGGAGAGUGGAAUUCCUGGUGUAGCGGUGAAAUGCGCAGAUAUCAGGAAGAACACCCGUGGCGAAGGCGGCUCUCUGGGACGGUACUGACGGCUGAGACGCGAAAGCGUGGGGAGCGAACAGGAU